GGAAACGGAAUCGGAUGCCCGGAUCAUGAGAUACGCCCAAAACCGUCAAAACCUACUGAGCGCACCCCGAACAUGCCCAUUUUUCGGCGUUCAAACCGCCGCGCGGCUACCCCCCCAUCCCGAUGCCCCCGGAACCCUGGUCCCGCGGGACCCGACGGAAACGGAAUCGGAGGCCCGGAUCAUGAGUUACAGCCCCUUCUUUGCGGCCCCCGAGGACGUGCGCUAUAGCCCCCCGGGCCACCCCCCAUCCGGCCGCACCCGCCCGAACCCCACCGAACGCGUCCGCCGCCUCCCGAUCCCGCCCCGCGGUCCCCCCCGGGGCAUGAACCGCCCCCCGGCGGGCCGAAACCGGCCAAACCGGCAAAAACGCCCCGAUCAUGCCCGUUUUUCGGCUUUCAAACCGCCGCGCGGCUACCCCCCCAUCCCGAUGCCCCCGGACCCCUGCUCCCGUGGGACCUGACGGAAACGGAAUCGGAUGCCCGGAUCAUGAGAUACGCCCAAAACCGUCUAAACCUACUGAGCGCACCCCGAACAUGCCCAUUUUUCGGCGUUCAAACCGCCGCGCGGCUACCCCCCCAUCCCGAUGCCCCCGGAACCCUGGUCCCGCGGGACCCGACGGAAACGGAAUCGGAGGCCCGGAUCAUGAGUUACGGCCCCUUCUUUGCGGCCCCCGAGGACGUGCGCUAUAGCCCCCCGGGCCACCCCCCAUCCGGCCGCACCCGCCCGAACCCCACCGAACGCGUCCGCCGCCUCCCGAUCCCGCCCCGCGGUCCCCCCCGGGGCAUGAACCGCCCCCCGGCGGGCCGAAACCGGCCAAACCGGCAAAACCGCCCCGAUCAUGCCCGUUUUUCGGCGUUCAAACCGCCGCGCGGCUACCCCCCCAUCCCGAUGCCCCCGGACCCCUGGUCCCGUGGGACCUGACGGAAACGGAAUUGGAUGCCCGGAUCAUGAGAUACGCCCAAAACCGUCAAAACCUACUGAGCGCACCCCGAACAUGCCCAUUUUUCGGCGUUCAAACCGCCGCGCGGCUACCCCCCCAUCCCGAUGCCCCCGGAACCCUGGUCCCGCAGGACCCGACGGAAACGGAAUCGGAGGCCCGGAUUAUGAGUUACGUCCCCUUCUUUGCGGCCCCCGAGGACGUGCGC
RNAcentral lists this long non-coding RNA (1145 nucleotides) under Citrus x clementina. RNAcentral describes it as "Citrus clementina (C. clementina) long non-coding RNA (CCLE_LNC003182)". The record is from RNAcentral. Lineage: Eukaryota; Viridiplantae; Streptophyta; Magnoliopsida; Sapindales; Rutaceae.